UAAAUAAGGAUUAUAUUUUCAGAUCCUGGUAACAUAUCAUAUCCAGAUAUUUUAAUAUCUAAUGAUAAUGCUUUCAUAAUAUGAGGAUCUUUUACUGAGAUUGUAAAGUUGGGAUAACACGAAAAAUAAAUCGAGCCAUCACAAAGAGAUGAUUCAACAAUUCCUAAUAAGGAAUCAUUAAAAUUGUUGUGUCUUUUAUCUCUAACACAUAUUAAGGCUGAGGUAUUUAAUCCUAACCUGGUUGCUGGUUUUAGAGCAACUUGGAUCAUUCCUAUGUGUAGGAAAGAGUAUUCCUUCUGAUGUCUUUUCAGAAGUUCUUCAGAAAACAGACUCUUAGAGCUUAAUCCUUCAUGGAUAGGAGUGGCUUGCUCAACAGUUUUUAUUACAUAAUCAGACCUAAAUCUAAAACUAUUACUAGACUUAUAUAUAAGAUUAGACGAAAUAGGAGGCAGCUUCCAAUUAUUUAAAUUAUUUUCUAUAUUAGCUAAUAACAGUAUUUCUUUGUUUUUUGAUUUUUUAUUUUCCUUGUCUUCAAAUCUAACGCUUCUAGAGCUACCAGAUAAGCUAGAAAAUAGUUUGUCCAUAGGUUCUAGAUCACUGUCAACGAUGUUACUCCUGAUGCCUAAAACGCCUUUCUCACGGCUUUAGCGGCUAAAGGAUACGCGACUUGGGGUUUCACUAGAACUAUUGAUCAAACUAUUACCUAACUAGGCUCUGAUACCAAUUGAGACGCCGAGACUUUUCGACGCUAGGACCGAGUAGGAUUAAGUAGUACGUGGCGUUGUGGCUAGAGUUUGCUCUACCUUCCACCAAUGAAGGGCUCAAGCGGUUACUAGUUUCCAGCCAAUAUACUACUUUGACUUAGACAUGAUGAAAAAAGGGUUUUAUUUAAACCAAUAGAAAUCGAGAAGUUAAGCCUAAAAUUGGCAAAAGAAGAUCAUUCAGAAAUGAUUGAAGAGUUAACUAAAAGAUUAAUAGAACUAGGUCUAGAUUCAAAAAAAAAAUCAAUAUCUCAUUUAACUAAGGAUUUAACUUUAAAAGAGGAAUUAGAAAAUAGAUUAAAUAAUCUGAAUCUUGCUCCUUUAGAUAAAAAAUCAGAAAGCUCAGAAUCUGACUCAUCUAAUGAAGAUGAAUUAGACAAUAUUGAAAAAAUGUUAAAAUAAUCUGAACCUUUAAAAGUAAACAGGGUAAUUUAUCCAAAACCCAGAGCAACUAUAGAAAUGAAGCCUUAUUAUCCUAGGCCGUCUCUAAUAAAUCUAUAAUAUGAAGAUACAAAUUAUAAUUAUGUACAAUACGAUAGAACUUCAAUUGUAGAAUGGAACAUAGAUGGACUUUCUGAUUAUCAAAUCAAGAAUGUCAUCCAGUUCAUGACUAUGUAUGCUAUAGCUGCAAAAGUCAAAGGAAACAAUACUGACCAAGCAAUAGCCAAAGCUAUUAUCGCUGGUUUUACUGGCAAACUAAGAGGUUGGUGGGACUUUUCCUUAUCAGAAGAAGGAAAAGCACAGGUUCUUAAUGCAGUUAAAACAGAACCAAGAGCUGAAGGUCCAGUAGUAGUGUCAGACAGCGUUAAUACGUUAUUAUACACUAUUGGAAUGCAUUUUAUAGGGUCCGCAAGUUUGUAUAUGGAUAGGUCUCAGGAACAGUUAAUGAACUUAAGAUGUCCUGAUCUGUCUCAUUUUAAAUGGUAUAAAGAUACCUUCUUUUCCCUUAUGUUUACCAGGGAAGAUAACCAAUUU
RNAcentral lists this unclassified non-coding RNA (1736 nucleotides) under Hevea brasiliensis (rubber tree). Lineage: Eukaryota; Viridiplantae; Streptophyta; Magnoliopsida; Malpighiales; Euphorbiaceae. The record is from RNAcentral.